ACCUCGGUGGCGCAAUUGGCUAGCGCGUUUGACUCUAACCGUGCUGUUGCGGGUUCGAUCCCGUCUGGGGUG
This is a non-coding RNA of Exocentrus adspersus, 72 nucleotides long. The record is from the annotation of a GenBank genome assembly. Lineage: Eukaryota; Metazoa; Arthropoda; Insecta; Coleoptera; Cerambycidae.